GUCUACGGCCAUACCACCCUGAAAGCACCUGAUCUUGUAUGAUCUCGGAAGCUAGGCAGGGUCAGGCCUGGUUAGUACUUGGAUGGGAGACCACCUGGGAAUACUGGGUGCUGUAGGCU
RNAcentral lists this ribosomal RNA (119 nucleotides) under Saimiri boliviensis boliviensis (Bolivian squirrel monkey). The record is from RNAcentral. Lineage: Eukaryota; Metazoa; Chordata; Mammalia; Primates; Cebidae.